RNAcentral lists this ribosomal RNA (484 nucleotides) under uncultured bacterium. Its description in RNAcentral is "partial 16S ribosomal RNA". It matches the Rfam family "Bacterial small subunit ribosomal RNA", at positions 30 to 507 of the family's 1533-position model. The record is from RNAcentral.
AUUGAACGCUGGCGGCAGGCCUAACACAUGCAAGUCGAGCGGAUGAAGGGAGCUUGCUCCUGGAUUCAGCGGCGGACGGGUGAGUAAUGCCUAGGAAUCUGCCUGGUAGUGGGGGAUAACGUCCGGAAACGGGCGCUAAUACCGCAUACGUCCUGAGGGAGAAAGUGGGGGAUCUUCGGACCUCACGCUAUCAGAUGAGCCUAGGUCGGAUUAGCUAGUUGGUGGGGUAAAGGCCUACCAAGGCGACGAUCCGUAACUGGUCUGAGAGGAUGAUCAGUCACACUGGAACUGGGACACGGUCCAGACUCCUACGGGAGGCAGCAGUGGGGAAUAUUGGACAAUGGGCGAAAGCCUGAUCCAGCCAUGCCGCGUGUGUGAAGAAGGUCUUCGGAUUGUAAAGCACGUUAAGUUGGGAGGAAGGGCAGUAAGUUAAUACCUUGCUGUUUUGACGUUACCAACAGGAUAAGCACCGGCUAACUUCGUG